CUUUGCCCCACACCAGGAGCCUCCCAUGGGGGCAUCAGAAUAGAGGUCAUAAGGCCUGCUGAUCUUGGGCACCAGGCUGCGAGGGUGAGUGUUCUAGUCUUGGUGGAGUUUCCAUGCAUUUGUGCUGUUUGUGUCCAGACGCCACUCAGGAGUCACUCUGGGAGGAGAGUCUCUUCUCUACCCUCCCCAUAGAUGGGGGAACCGAGGCGAGCAGAGGAUUAAUCCCUUGUCCCAGGUCACCCAGCUGCACUCACGAAGGAUCUGCAGCACGUUCUGGGGCCACGCCCAGUGCCAGUAGCAGCAGCACCCAGCAAGCUGGCCCUAGGAGGGCACGGGAUGGUGGCUUCUGACCUCGACCCUGCCCUGCGUUCAAGGUCCCGCCGGGCCCCGCCCUUGUAGCCUGUCCCGCCCCUCUAAGCCCCGGCCCCGCCCAUUGCACCCGAAGUUCUCGGAUUCCUGCAGACCUGGAUGCGGCGGCGUCGGGAGACCCCAGAGCUGCGGUGCGAGGCCCACCCGGUGCGUGCCCUCUUCAGUGAAGGUGCUGGCUCAGGCCAGGCCCACAGUACCCUUCAUGGCCCCAAAGGCCCUCUGCUGC
Molecule: long non-coding RNA, 595 nt
Filed under: Equus asinus (donkey)
Lineage: Eukaryota; Metazoa; Chordata; Mammalia; Perissodactyla; Equidae
Description: lncRNA (ENSEASG00005029618.1)
Source: RNAcentral